UUUGUUAAACGUUAACCAAUGGGGGAGAAGAACUGAAGUUCAUUUUAUUAAAAAGAUAUUUCUGAUGAAUUUUGAUCACUAUUUCUGGUUGCUCAGCAGAACUAAAAAAUGUUUUCCCUUAUCAAUGCCAUUCCCAUCUACUGCUCUAGUACUUCUACGUAUCAGUUGGUUACUGCUGGUCUUGAGAAAUCUCAAAUGGUAUUAUACACCAUAUAGUUAAAGGAUGCCAGGGUAUGAAUAUGUGAGACAUUGUUAUCACUAUAAUCAGCCCUAUACUGUACGGUAAUAGGUAAGACACAAGACUUAAUUUUUAUGAAAUGAACUCACUGAUCUAAUAUUCUAAUCAAUAACGCCAUAUGUUUCUAAGAUCCUAAACCCUAAUACCCUAACCCAAACCCUAAACCCUAAACCCUAAAUACAAAUCCAUAACCUCUAAGCUCUAAAAACUCUAAAAGCAUAAGUUAAGAAACCCAAGAUUGUCUAAAAGCAUGUUAGCUUCAGCUUCGCUGAAGUCCUACCAUAUGGUAGGAAUUGAUGAGGAGGAGCCGUCUCCAACUAGCUCCCUUGUGCCCGCAAGCAAGCUAGUACUAAAUAGAAAGAAGAGAAAAUAAAAAGAAAAACUAUCAAGUGUUAUAGUGACAAAACAUAAAAAAAGAAAAGAUAAAAUAAGAAAAAAUAUAUAUCUAGAACAACUUGUAUGAACUCGUGAUAAACAAAAAUUAGGAUACAAAAUAACCUAUCAUGGGAAGAAAAUGAACUGAAAAGGUCAAUCAAAAAAUACUGAAGAAAAAUAAAAUGGAAGGGAGAAAAUAAACAGAAGAAAAAAAAUCAUGUUGACACAAGAAGAGAAAAUAACGGAUGGAGAAAAGGAAAAAAAAGGAAGGAAAUGAAUGGAAGAAAAGAACACGUUAGGAAGAAAGCGAAGGAAGAAAAAAAACACCUAAGAAAAUGAAACCGAGUAACCAAUGGAAAAAUAGUUACGAGAAAAACAAAAGAAACCGAAAAAAGAGAAACGGAGGAAAUCUGACGCAUACAUAGCAUAUUCCAACAAGCUGAAGAAAAAAACUAUCAUGGACUACGUAUCUGAAAAGAUAUAGCAGUGGGCUGAACAUCCUGUUGUUGGACUUUCUAUACUUGUUCAAACUGAUUUAGGGGGUGUUUGGAUACGAGGUGCUAAACUUUAACAGUGUCACAUCGGAUGUUCGAAUACUAAUUAGGAGAACUAAACAUGAGCUAAUUAUAAAACUAAUUGCAGACCCCUUUGCUAAUUCGCGAGACGAAUCUAUUAAGCCUAAUUAAUCCAUCAUUAGCAAAUGGUUACUGUAGCACCACAUUGUCAAAUCAUGGACUAAUUAGACUUAAUUACACUCCAUCUGUGCAAUUAGUUUUAUAAUUAAUCUAUAUUUAAU
Molecule: long non-coding RNA, 1409 nt
Filed under: Setaria viridis
Lineage: Eukaryota; Viridiplantae; Streptophyta; Magnoliopsida; Poales; Poaceae
Description: long non-coding RNA (SVIR_LNC008596)
Source: RNAcentral